UACAGAGACUGCAAGCGUUAUUCGGAUUCACUGGGCGUAAAGGGUGCGCAGGCGGCCGUGUGUGUGAGGCGUGAAAGCCCGGGGCUUAACCCCGGAAUUGCACCUCAAACUACAUUGCUAGAGCAUUGGAGAGGGUAGCGGAAUUCACGGUGUAGCAGUGAAAUGCGUAGAUAUCGUGAGGAACACCAGAGGCGAAGGCGGCUACCUGGACAAUUGCUGACGCUCAGGCACGAAAGCGUGGGGAGCAAAAGGG
This 253-nucleotide ribosomal RNA is filed under the name uncultured bacterium. RNAcentral's name for it is "partial 16S ribosomal RNA". It matches the Rfam family "Bacterial small subunit ribosomal RNA", at positions 524 to 776 of the family's 1533-position model. The record is from RNAcentral.